This 468-nucleotide ribosomal RNA is filed under the name uncultured bacterium. Its description in RNAcentral is "partial 16S ribosomal RNA". It matches the Rfam family "Bacterial small subunit ribosomal RNA", at positions 28 to 507 of the family's 1533-position model. The record is from RNAcentral.
GACGAACGCUGGCGGCGUGCUUAACACAUGCAAGUCGAACGGAAAGGCCCUGCUUUUGUGGGGUGCUCGAGUGGCGAACGGGUGAGUAACACGUGAGUAACCUGCCCUUGACUUUGGGAUAAGUUCAGGAAACUGGGGCUAAUACCGGAUAGGAGCUCCUGCUGCAUGGUGGGGGUUGGAAAGUUUCGGCGGUUGGGGAUGGACUCGCGGCUUAUCAGCUUGUUGGUGGGGUAGUGGCAUACCAAGGCUUUGACGGGUAGCCGGCCUGAGAGGGUGACCGGCCACAUUGGGACUGAGAUACGGCCCAGACUCCUACGGGAGGCAGCAGUGGGGAAUAUUGCACAAUGGGCGGAAGCCUGAUGCAGCGACGCCGCGUGCGGGAUGACGGCCUUCGGGUUGUAAACCGCUUUCGCCUGUGACGAAGCGUGAGUGACGGUACUGAGAAAAGAAGCACCGGCUAACUACGUG